UGGAGCCUACGGGGCGCAGCAGUGAGGAAUAUUGGUCAAUGGGCGAGAGCCUGAACCAGCCAAGUCGCGUGAGGGAGGAAGGUACAGAGUAUCGUAAACCUCUUUUGUCAGGGAACAAAGGCGGGGACGUGUCCCCGGAUGAGUGUACCUGAAGAAAAAGCAUCGGCUAACUCCGUGCCAGCAGCCGCGGUAAUACGGAGGAUGCGAGCGUUAUCCGGAUUUAUUGGGUUUAAAGGGUGCGCAGGCGGUCUGUUAAGUCAGCGGUCAAAGCCCGGGGCUCAACCCCGGCCCGCCGUUGAAACUGG
Molecule: ribosomal RNA, 305 nt
Filed under: uncultured bacterium
Lineage: Bacteria
Description: bacterial SSU rRNA
Rfam family: Bacterial small subunit ribosomal RNA
Source: RNAcentral